CCUACGGGAGGCAGCAGUGGGGAAUAUUGCGCAAUGGGCGAAAGCCUGACGCAGCGACGCCGCGUGAGGGAUGAAGGUCUUCGGAUCGUAAACCUCUGUCAGCAGGGAAGAACGGUCACGGGGCUAAGCAGCAGUGAAUUGACGGUACCUGCAAAGGAAGCACCGGCUAACUCCGUGCCAGCAGCCGCGGUAAUACGGAGGGUGCGAGCGUUAAGCGGAAUUACUGGGCGUACAGCGCUCGUAGGCGGUAUGUCAAGUCAAGGGUGAAAUCCCCGCGCUCAACGUGGGAACUGCCUUUGAAACUGGCAACCUGUAGUGUGUGAGCGGCUAGUGGACUUCCAGGUGUAGGCGU
This 352-nucleotide ribosomal RNA is filed under the name uncultured bacterium. RNAcentral describes it as "partial 16S ribosomal RNA". It matches the Rfam family "Bacterial small subunit ribosomal RNA", at positions 338 to 682 of the family's 1533-position model. The record is from RNAcentral.